This 581-nucleotide ribosomal RNA is filed under the name Vibrio harveyi. Its description in RNAcentral is "bacterial SSU rRNA". It matches the Rfam family "Bacterial small subunit ribosomal RNA", at positions 309 to 883 of the family's 1533-position model. Lineage: Bacteria; Pseudomonadati; Pseudomonadota; Gammaproteobacteria; Vibrionales; Vibrionaceae. The record is from RNAcentral.
CACACUGGACUGAGACACGGUCCAGACUCCUACGGGAGGCAGCAGUGGGGAAUAUUGCACAAUGGGCGCAAGCCUGAUGCAGCCAUGCCGCGUGUGUGAAGAAGGCCUUCGGGUUGUAAAGCACUUUCAGUCGUGAGGAAGGUAGUGUAGUUAAUAGCUGCAUUAUUUGACGUUAGCGACAGAAGAAGCACCGGCUAACUCCGUGCCAGCAGCCGCGGUAAUACGGAGGGUGCGAGCGUUAAUCGGAAUUACUGGGCGUAAAGCGCAUGCAGGUGGUUUGUUAAGUCAGAUGUGAAAGCCCGGGGCUCAACCUCGGAAUWGCAUUUGAAACUGGCAGACUAGAGUACUGUAGAGGGGGGUAGAAUUUCAGGUGUAGCGGUGAAAUGCGUAGAGAUCUGAAGGAAUACCGGUGGCGAAGGCGGCCCCCUGGACAGAUACUGACACUCAGAUGCGAAAGCGUGGGGAGCAAACAGGAUUAGAUACCCUGGUAGUCCACGCCGUAAACGAUGUCUACUUGGAGGUUGUGGCCUUGAGCCGUGGCUUUCGGAGCUAACGCGUUAAGUAGACCGCCUGGGGAGUAC